RNAcentral lists this ribosomal RNA (608 nucleotides) under Ganoderma resinaceum. RNAcentral describes it as "eukaryotic LSU rRNA". It matches the Rfam family "Eukaryotic large subunit ribosomal RNA", at positions 59 to 651 of the family's 3401-position model. The record is from RNAcentral. Lineage: Eukaryota; Fungi; Basidiomycota; Agaricomycetes; Polyporales; Polyporaceae.
AAGAAACUAACAAGGAUUCCCCUAGUAACUGCGAGUGAAGCGGGAAAAGCUCAAAUUUAAAAUCUGGCGGUCUUUGGCCGUCCGAGUUGUAGUCUGGAGAAGUGCUUUCCGCGCUGGACCGUGUAUAAGUCUCUUGGAACAGAGCGUCAUAGAGGGUGAGAAUCCCGUCUUUGACACGGACUACCAGUGCUUUGUGAUGCGCUCUCAAAGAGUCGAGUUGUUUGGGAAUGCAGCUCAAAAUGGGUGGUGAAUUCCAUCUAAAGCUAAAUAUUGGCGAGAGACCGAUAGCGAACAAGUACCGUGAGGGAAAGAUGAAAAGCACUUUGGAAAGAGAGUUAAACAGUACGUGAAAUUGCUGAAAGGGAAACGCUUGAAGUCAGUCGCGUUGUCCGGAACUCAGCCUUGCUUUCGCUUGGUGCACUUUCCGGAUGACGGGUCAGCAUCGAUUUUGACCGUCGGAAAAGGGCUGGAGUAAUGUGGCACCUCCGGGUGUGUUAUAGACUCUGGUCGCAUACGACGGCUGGGAUCGAGGAACGCAGCGCGCCGCAAGGCAGGGGUUCGCCCACUUUCGCGCUUAGGAUGCUGGCAUAAUGGCUUUAAACGACCCG